UGAGCUUCACGGGGCCUGAAAUUACACAUCCUCAAACACUUUGGUGAACAGAAACAGGCAGCACACAACACUCCCCAGAAAUCUGAGUUCUGCCCCUGUAAGAAGGGACGAAGACCCUUCUAAGCCCUGGGACCCGAGAUGCCGCUUCCCGGGGACCCUCACGGGAAAGGCACCUAAAAUUUUCUGCUGGAGGCCCGGUAGGUGACGCUUUACCCGCGGCGUUUGAAUCCGUAGGAACUACAUUACCCUGUCUGCUCUGCGUCUAACUGCUGCCUCGCUGAACCAAUGAAGGCUCAGGACAGAGGCGUUUCCGUGCGUGAUACUAGCGCGGGGCGGGACUUCCGGCGUCUUCCUCCGGGCGGUCAUUUUGGCUGUUCGGGUGUGUUCAUCCGGACGGAAGUUGUGAUUGGUGGGUCGGGGCGUGGGUGACAAGACUGAGAAGGACUCAGAGGAGUAGUUGUCCCCGUUGUAGAAAAGCGAGUCUGAGGCUCGGCCGCGGUGCCGCCCGAGAUGAUCCGUACCAGGGUCGGUAUGAGAACCGCCGGCCCGCUCCCGGCCCCGCUCCGCCCGCAGGCCCGGAUGGCGGCGGCCACGCCGAUGGAGCCGGCUGAGAUACAAGCAGUGAGUCCAAUACAUUCUCAGCAAUAGACUUUCUUCCGGAGCCACAUGCACCAUCCUGAUCCUGGGGCCGGCUCUGUGGCUGAGUGGUUAAGUUCGCGCGCUGCACU
Non-coding RNA from Equus caballus (horse), 728 nucleotides. NCBI's taxonomy places the organism in Eukaryota, Metazoa, Chordata, Mammalia, Perissodactyla, Equidae. The record is from RefSeq and is a predicted model, not a curated record.